GACGAACGCUGGCGGCGUGCUUAACACAUGCAAGUCGAACGAUGAAGCCGGAGCUUGCUCUGGUGAAUUAGUGGCGAACGGGUGAGUAACACGUGAGUAACCUGCCCUUGACUCUGGGAUAACUGCGGGAAACUGUAGCUAAUACCGGAUACGACCCUCGGAGGCAUCUCCUGGGGGUGGAAAGAAUUUCGGUCAAGGAUGGACUCGCGGCCUAUCAGCUAGUUGGUGAGGUAAAGGCUCACCAAGGCGACGACGGGUAGCCGGCCUGAGAGGGUGACCGGCCGCACUGGGACUGAGACACGGGCCAGACUCCUACGGGAGGCAGCAGUGGGGAAUAUUGCACAAUGGGCGCAAGCCUGAUGCAGCAACGCCGCGUGAGGGAUGACGGCCUCCGGGUUGUAAACCUCUUUUAGCAGGGAAGAAGCGAAAGUGACGGUACCUGCAGAAAAAGCACCGGCUAACUACGUGCCAGCAGCCGCCGUAA
RNAcentral lists this ribosomal RNA (484 nucleotides) under uncultured bacterium. RNAcentral's name for it is "partial 16S ribosomal RNA". It matches the Rfam family "Bacterial small subunit ribosomal RNA", at positions 28 to 523 of the family's 1533-position model. The record is from RNAcentral.